UGAGUAAUCUGCCCUUCACUUUGGGAUAGCUCCCGGAAACGGGGAUUAAUACCGGAUAUGACCACUCCAGGCAUCUGGUGGUGGUGGAAAGUUUUUUCGGUGGGGGAUGUGCUCGCGGCCUAUCAGCUUGUUGGUGGGGUAAUGGCCUACCAAGGCGACGACGGGUAGCCGGCCUGAGAGGGCGACCGGCCACACUGGGACUGAGACACGGCCCAGACUCCUACGGGA
RNAcentral lists this ribosomal RNA (228 nucleotides) under uncultured bacterium. RNAcentral describes it as "partial 16S ribosomal RNA". It matches the Rfam family "Bacterial small subunit ribosomal RNA", at positions 118 to 346 of the family's 1533-position model. The record is from RNAcentral.